ACUGUACAAAGGUAGCAUAAUAAUUAGUCUCUUAAUUAGGGACUAGAAUGAAUGAUUGAACGAGAUAAUAACUGUCUCUUAUUAAAUUAUAGAAUUUUAUUUUUAAGUUAAAAAGCUUAAAUGAAUUUAAAAGACGAGAAGACCCUAUAGAGUUUUAUAUUUAAUUUAUUAUAAAAUUUAGUUUAAAAUUUUUAUUUUUUAAAAUAAAUAUUUAAUUGGGGUGAUUAAAAAAUUUAAAUAACUUUUUUUAAAAAUUAUCAUUGAUUAAUGAAUUUUUGAUCCAAUAUUUUUGAUUAUAAGAUUAAAUUACCUUAGGGAUAACAGCGUAAUUUUUUUUAAGAGUUCUUAUCGAAAAAAAAGAUUGCGACCUCGAUGUUGGAUUAAAAUUAAUUUUUGGCGUAGAAGUUAAAAAAUUAGGUCUGUUCGACCUUUAAAAUUUUACGUGAUCUGAGUUUA
RNAcentral lists this ribosomal RNA (456 nucleotides) under Ovobathysciola majori. RNAcentral describes it as "partial 16S ribosomal RNA". The stretch from base 317 to 456 matches the Rfam family "Bacterial large subunit ribosomal RNA", at positions 2473 to 2613 of the family's 2925-position model. Lineage: Eukaryota; Metazoa; Arthropoda; Insecta; Coleoptera; Leiodidae. The record is from RNAcentral.